UACGGAGGGGGCUAGCGUUGUUCGGAAUUACUGGGCGUAAAGCGCACGUAGGCGGAUAUUUAAGUCAGGGGUGAAAUCCCGGGGCUCAACCCCGGAACUGCCUUUGAUACUGGGUAUCUGGAGGUCGAGAGAGGCGAGUGGAAUUCCGAGUGUAGAGGUGAAAUUCGUAGAUAUUCGGAGGAACACCAGUGGCGAAGGCGGCCCGCUGGCUCGAUACUGACGCUGAGGUGCGAAAGCGUGGGGAGCAAACAGG
Molecule: ribosomal RNA, 253 nt
Filed under: uncultured bacterium
Lineage: Bacteria
Description: partial 16S ribosomal RNA
Rfam family: Bacterial small subunit ribosomal RNA
Source: RNAcentral